GAUGAACGCUGGCGGCGUGCCUAAUACAUGCAGGUCGAACGAGGUCUUCGGACCUAGUGGCGAACGGGUGAGUAACACGUUGGUACCUACCCCGAAGUGGGGAAUAACUGCCCGAAAGGGUGGCUACUACCGCAUAAUACCGCAAGGUUAAAGCAGUAAUGCGCUUCGGGAGGGGCCUGCGUCUCAUUAGCUAGUUGGUAGGGUAAUGGCCUACCAAGGCGACGAUGGGUAGCUGGAUCGAGAGGUUGACCAGCCACACUGGGACUGAGAUACGGCCCAGACUCCUACGGGAGGCAGCAGUAAGGAAUCUUCCACAAUGGACGAAAGUCUGAUGGAGCAACGCCGCGUGCAGGAUGACGGCCUUCGGGUUGUAAACUGCUUUUAUACGGGAAGAUUAUGACGGUACCGUAUGAAUAAGGACCGGCUAACUACGUGCCAGCCGCCGCGGUAA
This 451-nucleotide ribosomal RNA is filed under the name uncultured bacterium. RNAcentral describes it as "partial 16S ribosomal RNA". It matches the Rfam family "Bacterial small subunit ribosomal RNA", at positions 28 to 523 of the family's 1533-position model. The record is from RNAcentral.